Molecule: non-coding RNA, 121 nt
Organism: Picea glauca (white spruce)
Lineage: Eukaryota; Viridiplantae; Streptophyta; Pinopsida; Pinales; Pinaceae
Source: Rfam
ACAUGCCUACAUCAUAGUAUUAAUACAUUGAAUCCCAUUAGAACUCUGUAGUUAAGUUCACUUAGGCUAGAGUAGUACUAGGAUGGGUGACCACCUAGGAAAUCCUAAUGUUUUACAUGCC